Molecule: ribosomal RNA, 402 nt
Filed under: uncultured bacterium
Lineage: Bacteria
Description: bacterial SSU rRNA
Rfam family: Bacterial small subunit ribosomal RNA
Source: RNAcentral
GACGAACGCUGGCGGCGUGCUUAACACAUGCAAGUGGUGCGACGAACCAGGGCUUGCCCUGGGGCAAAGCCGCGAACGGGUGAGUAACACGUGAGUAACCUGCCCCGAUGACCGGGACAACCCGAGGAAACUCGGGCUAAUACCGGAUGUGGCGCACAGGCAUCAGCCUGUUCGCUAAAGGAAGCUUCGGCCUCCGCAUUGGGAGGGGCUCGCGGCCCAUUAGCUUGUUGGUGGGGAACGGCCUACCAAGGCAACGAUGGGUAGCUGGUCUGAGAGGACGAUCAGCCACACUGGGACUGAGACACGGCCCAGACUCCUACGGGAGGCAGCAGUGGGGAAUCUUGCGCAAUGCGCGAAAGCGUGACGCAGCAACGCCGCGUGGGGGAAGAAUGCCUUCGGGUU